GCCGCCGCCACCUUCGCCGCUUUGACAAUAUUUACUUAUUUUCCCCCACCUCACUCACACCCAUGCUCCCCCGCCCUAGUUCCCUUAAAGAGUUCCAGGAGAAAAUGUUCUCCCCUCAAGAAAGGAAAGAGAAAGUCCAACCGCUAUACGGCAAUACUUUUAAGCUCGACUAAAUGAUCGUAUCCUUUUCUGGCUUCGAAACUUUUGUACCUAAAAAUCGAGAGUGGCGCUGCAUUUUUUCAGCUGAAACUGUCAAAACUUGGAGAAGGGGAACCUCGGAGGCAGGCAGGAGAGGAGGAGAAUCCUGCAACUCGGUGGAGGUUGGGAAGAUGCUGUGCCUCGAGGAUUAGUUUAAACAGGGGGCUAUAAAAGAUGUAACAGAUGCAAACUGUAACACAAGGGCCAUUAACCCUUUCUCUGCCGAACACACUCAGUCCCCACGCCCCGCACCUAUUGUCUCCUGUGCUAGAAGCUUUGCGGAAAACCUGGAAAACACUCCUCCUCACUUCAGACUCACAUCCCCACUUAAAAGGAGAAAAUCGUAAAAGGAGGGUGGGGGAUGACCAUGCCGAAAAGGAAUAAAAAGAGAGAAAAGGGGAAAAAAAAAAAACCUACCUGCGAAGUCUUGUUUGUAGUUUUGGCCAGAAAUGGUGAGAAGAAAAAGCAUGAAGAAGCCGCGAAGUGUGGGGGAGAAAAAGGUGGAAGCGAAGAAACAGCUCCCGGAGCAAACUGUACAAAACCUCGCCAAGAGUGUCGGGAGGCAGGACCGUUAUUCCUGCGGAGCAGGAGAGAGAGAGACCCUGAAACACGCGCCACCUAUCUUUGUGGGGAGGGAUAAUUGAAGCGCCCUGAGCGUGAGCAUCAUGUGAAAACGUGAUCGCCAAGUUUCUCUCUGGGAAAGGAUCUGGGAUAGAUUAUACCUUGAAGUCUCCGCAAACGCUUUAGUGGAAGAAAUGAAAUUCCACCUCCCUCCCUUCCUCUCUCCCUCCCUCUCGCCUCCCUCCCUCCCUUCUCCACGCCCCCCCCCACCCCCCCGUCAAGCCUUUGGCAUCAUUAUCCUCAUCACUAAAUCCUACAGAGUACAGGGCGGAAAACGGUGCACACCAUUCACAGAACUGGAGAACUCUAAGGGGCGAAAGUUAAAGGGAAAGAUCCCGGUUCCUCAAUCCAGAUCGCCUCUUCUUAUACAGAUGUCUCUAAUGACCAGAUUUGAGAUGCACAUUAAAUUGUGUGGAUUUCUCAGCACGGCUUCUGGAACUAAAUUUUUUGCCCUUUCUCUUAAUUUUUUUUUUUCUUUUAAGAUGCCAGAGCCAGAAAAAAAAAAAAAAAAAGCUUCAUGUGAACUGCAUUUUAGGGCGUGUGUGUUGCGGUGUGUGUGUGUGAUGAAUUUCUGGAUUGGAUCCCAAUACUAAAAAGUGGUUUGGCAUUUUUUAAAAGGGUCUCUUAAGUAAAUUAACAUAGAGCGCUGAGUUGCUGAGUUGACCGAUCUCUGAAUCUCUCCACAUCUCACGGAGACCUCACUACAAAGUGAGGGAGUGGGUGUAGGGAGGCAGGAGGAAAAGGAGAAAGGCCAUAGAGGAACUUAGCAGCGAAGGAAGAUCACCAUAUUAAACGGCAUGGGGUCUAAGUUUUGGAGUAUAUAUUUUUUGAUAUUGCAAUUAAAGUAAAAUUAAAAAGAAAAGACUCCACCUUUGCUCUGAAGGGAUUGGUUAUGUAAAUAUGGAAGGGAUUUCCUGGAGAAUACAGCUUUCUACUGUAUGGUUAAUUAAAUAAUCACUCAAAAGCUUCCAACGUGACGCUUCUGUCGUAAUCCAAUCAGGUUACAUAGGUCCUAAACAAGAAAGAUAUUUUCCACAUCUGGAAGUCAGCAAUUUAGCAAGUACUGCACAUUAUUAACCAAUUCAGAGCCCACUUCCCAGGGGAAUUUUUUUUGAAGUUUAAGUGUUCUUAACCAAUGCUCUGCUGUUUUGUUAAUCAAAAAGCUGGUUUACACUGCACAUAAUUGGAACUAAUAUAGAAGUAAAUAAAGACAGCCAAAUUUGAGGAUGCUGAGCACAGGCAUUUAUCGGAAAAGGAAGAAAUCUCUUAGCCUCCAAUGGUUCAGGCUCAAUUUCUUAGAGAAUUGUGAGGCUUUUUCUUCUUCUUCUUCUUCUUCUUUUUUUUUCUUUAAGAGUGAAAGUACUUGAGAACCUCAGAGCACAAAUAAACUUUCAGUCCCACAGCCUUUGGGCUUCCUUGCAAAGGUAAAGGUGGAGGUGUCAAGAGGACUAAAGAACAGCCGCAUGCCAUUUUUUUCUGCUUUAAUAUUGUUAAUAUGUUACAGCCCCCUGUUUUCAGUCUGAUGAAAUCUGAAACAAAUAAAACCCUGAUCCAACACUAGACUUUUACUUAUAUGAAGAUAAACUGCUUUGAACUGUGCUUUGAAUGUGUGCCU
This is a long non-coding RNA of Physeter macrocephalus (sperm whale), 2434 nucleotides long. RefSeq lists it as uncharacterized. NCBI's taxonomy places the organism in Eukaryota, Metazoa, Chordata, Mammalia, Artiodactyla, Physeteridae. The record is from RefSeq and is a predicted model, not a curated record. The transcript has 3 exons.